Molecule: long non-coding RNA, 249 nt
Filed under: Capsicum annuum
Lineage: Eukaryota; Viridiplantae; Streptophyta; Magnoliopsida; Solanales; Solanaceae
Description: long non-coding RNA (CANN_LNC017566)
Source: RNAcentral
GGUAUAAAUAUCCCAGGACUCAAUGGCAUAAAAGUAAAGCAUAUCAUAAUCUUGAAUAACAUAACACUGUUUACUUUUUCAUAAUUCACUCUCUAAGACAUGUCAACAAACACUUGUAAUACAUCAAUUUAUACAUGAGUGGGGAAUACAUGUUGGUAUGUUAUAAUGGUAUUAUUUCAUUCUCAUAGACAAUUUAUCAAAUACUUGUAAGGCAUCUACUUAUACAUGCUACUAUGUUACAAUGACCCU